CUUUGUUGACUUGUUUGAUGAGCUUGAAGGGUAAGCAUUUGUUAACUAACAAUAUGAUCCUUUUUGCAGCUUACUCGGCAACAAUAGCUUGUCGGGAUAUAUUCCUGAUCUUAUUCCGUUGAAGGGACUAGCAAUAGUACAUCUGGAAAAUAAUCGGUUCAGUGGAACAAUUCCCCCAUCACUAGGAAACAUGGACAAUUUACGUGAACUUUUUUUGCAAGAGAAUAACUUGACUGGUCAAGUUCCAGAUAGCCUUACAGGGAGACCUGAUUUAGAUCUCAGAUUAUCUCCUGGGAAUUCAUUAGCAA
Molecule: long non-coding RNA, 308 nt
Organism: Daucus carota subsp. sativus
Lineage: Eukaryota; Viridiplantae; Streptophyta; Magnoliopsida; Apiales; Apiaceae
Exons: 4
Source: RefSeq, a predicted model, not a curated record